Molecule: long non-coding RNA, 1100 nt
Organism: Melospiza melodia melodia
Lineage: Eukaryota; Metazoa; Chordata; Aves; Passeriformes; Passerellidae
Exons: 2
Source: RefSeq, a predicted model, not a curated record
UUGGGGGGGGGCCGGGCUGAGCUUGUCGCGGCACGGGUGGCAGCCUCUGCCCUUUCCUCUGCUCUCCCAGCCUGCAUGUUUUCAGUUGAAACUUAAGGAGUGUGGAAGUGUCGGGAGAUGUGUCUGACCGGAGCCCGGCCCGCUGCUCCUCCGGGUGAGGUGGGCUCUCCUUCGGCGGGCGGGUCUGGACCUGGACACAUUUGGUUUAGCAAAAAGACAAAGAAACUAUAUAACAUAAGUGGAAGUUACUAUAUAAAAAUUCAGAUGUAAUGUAGAGCUACAGACUAGGGAAGAAAAAUCAAGGUGCAAAAUUGUUUUAGCAAGCAAAAAAACAACUCCAAGUGAACCCUACAGGGAUGAAGAAGGAACUGUCAACAGAAGCCUGGCAUUCUUCCUGGUGAGGGAGUCCAGAUGCUGAUGACUCACCAUAACCCCACCACCUUCACCUGAGUGAGACCAUGACCUUGGGGCCCAGGCAAAAAGGGGAGAGAGGUAAACACAACGCCGGGAGAAAGGGAAAAACUAAUGUGUGUAUGGAGCAAUUAAUUAUUCCUAUAAUAAAGAAUAAAACUUAGUAAUGGUAAGUUAGCAUAAACUUUCUGUAAUAACUAAUAAUUCUUGAAUGACACUGCUAAAGUUUCAAAUAUAUUAAUAGAUUUUUCACUUUAUAAAUAAUGUGUGUUUUACCUUUGUCAUAAAUAAGGUUUCGAGUGUACACAAGCUUGUGUAUACAUUGUGUUCAUUGCACAGGCAAUGAAUUUCUGUCUGAAGAAUAUACAUUUCCUAAGAAACUUAGAGUUUUGGAACAACCCAUGCUAUGUAUAUAAAUGUCAAUUUGCUAUACUCAGCCAUCUGGGAGGAAUAAUUGAUUAGGCUUUUUACUAAAGGUAGAAGUGACACCAGAAAAAUGAUAGUGUUUUAUCCCUCUUUGCAAUAAAUCCAAAUAAAGAAUCACUAUUUAAAUCCAAAUAAAGAAUCACAGCUCUACAUUUUGGGUUUGUAAAGAGUUAUGUCUUUGCUACUUUAAAGGACAGUUCAAGAGCAGCAUUUCAUUCUCUGUAUUUCAAUUUAUAUCUAAUUAAAAAAAAUCUGCUCCUCAA